AGACCGCUCGGCGAAAGGCUGGCAAGCGCUACAGGCGGAAGGAUGAAGAGGCCGCGGGGUCAGGCGGCGUCAGGAAGCAUCUAGGUGGGGGCGGAAAGCUCCAGAAAGGCUGCAAGCCUGGCUCAAGACCCAUCUCGCGGCCUGGCAAGUGGGAAUUGCUUCCAAAUGAAUUGUGCGAUUUCUAAAUUCUUCUUACGAAUGAAGGCAAAUAUACGUGUCCCAGGAUAAUGAUGCGAGAUUGAAUUUGGGUCAGUCAUCGGGAGCAGAGAUUAAGUCUUCCGAGCUUUUGGAUUCAUGCUGGAGCCCAUCUUCAGGGAAUUUCUCUCUACUGGAAUACAUUCUUUGGACUGUUCUGUGAGUUGUGUUUAUGUGAUGCCUUCCUAUUGGCUGAUUGGUGUAUUGAUAGCUGGUGAUUGGCUGUUGUUUUCUUCUAAUGCCAAGCCCUUGGCUCCUAAGUAUUUGAUAAGCUGGCGGUAAAUCUGCAUAUAAUAAGAUAUAAGAUUCUUCUUAUAUCCUGCUCUAAUCAGAUUGAUUAUGUGUGAACUCCAUUUUAGCAUGAUUUUAAGUCACUAUGCUUAUAGGAUCUAAAGAAAAGCCAUAUUGGGGUCAUUUUUUUCUUUAACGUGUCUCCCAAAAAAUUAUUCAUUUGUUGCAGUUGUUUAUUGACAAUCUCAUGGCUCUGGAUGGUUUAUGAUAUAAAUAAAUAUAAAUAUAUAAAUAAAUAUAAAUAUACAAGACAACUGCCAAUUGUGAAUUUUAACCCCAAACAACAACUCAGAUCACUACUAUCCUGCAAAGUCUAAAUGAAAUAAUUUUGACAGCCUUGUGGAAAUCCAACAAAGGAGGGGGGCAGCAGUACUUCUGGGAACAAAAUAAUCCUAAGUUUCAGGGCUAUGAUGCAGAAGUCUGUGAGAGUGGAAGAAUCAUUUUGAAGAUGAGAGACCCUAAAACAGCUUGAUGUUAUGCCAUAUUUAUAGUAAUAACCAGCAUUUUGAACUGGGCUCAGAAACAUAUAGAUAACUAGUGCAAGUACUGAAGAAUAAAUUAUAUUGUGCAAUAGGAUAAUAGGUCUCAUCUCUGCAGUUUGUAUAAAUUGUGGCUUCUGAGUCAUCUUCAUAACCAUCCCCAGGUAGUGUAUGUUGCAAUACUGUAAUUGUAAGAUAAUGAAGGCAUGAGUCACUGUUGCCAGGAAGAUUUAUAAUUGAUGUAAAGCUGAAGAUGGGAAAAAGCUCUUUUUGCUAUGUUCUCUUCCUGUUGCUCUAGCUGCCUAGAAGCAAAGAGUCCCAAGAGGAUCUCAAAUUCCUGCUCUUUCAGAGGAGUGCUGUCCCAUCCAAAAGUGUCAAUGGAAUUGAAUUAGAACACAGACGUUUUUGAAAAACAAUGUCUUGCUAGAAUUACAUUUUAGAUUAUUUUGUCUCAUUCAGUCUCUCAUAACUUCUGUAGACAAGAGCAGUGUUUCUCAAUCUUGGCAGAUUGAAGAUGUGUGGACUUCAAUUCCAGAUUUCCCUCCUUCAACUCAAGUGAAGCUGCCUGCGGCAUUCUGAGAGUUGAAGUCCACACAUUUUCAAGGUACCAGGGCAGAGAAACACUAGAACAGAAGAUUUCCACAUCAUUUUUGGCCUGGUUUGAGAUAGCAAUGUUAAAUCAAGAAUCAUUGACAUUCUGAUGACACCUGAUCACAAACCAAAAGCUAAGAUCUCCUAGUGGUUUUAUUUAGCCAUUAAACAAUAUAGGGGAGAUGUGUGAGGUUUGUGGUAUUCUACAUUAGGGCAACCAAAGGUUUAACUGCUCUACCCCAGUGGGUACCAGUUAGAGCUGCCCACUCAUAAAAUAUGUUCCAUGCUCCCAGUUUUGAGGUUAAUCCAACCUGCCACUUAUCCAAGAAAGUUUUCUAGAAGAGUCACUAAUGCUGUCUCAAAUCCAUGUCCAGGUCUCACUGGAAUGGAUCUAGAUAAUCUGCUUUAUCUGGAGUUUUCUUUACCUGACAUCCCACCAACCUCUCCAGAAUCUUUUUGCAAAAAGGGAGAUCAAAGACUUGGAAGUAGAUCAAGUAGAUCAAGAGAUGUCUUUAAGAGACAAAGUACUUAAGGUAGUCCUUAACUCAUAACUAUUCAUUUUGCGAUUGUUUGAAGUUACAAUGGUGCUGAAUAAAAGUUAUUUACAUCCAGUCUUCAUGCAUAAACUACUGCAGUGUUCCUGCAGUUCUAUGAUCAAAAUUGGAGCGUUUAGAAAUUGUACAGUAUUUAUGAUGGUUGCAGUGUCCUGGGUUCAGAUGAUCACCAUUUGUGACUUCCCAGGUAGCUUUUGACAAGCAAAAUCAAGGGAAAGCUGUUGCUUAAUGACUAUAUAAUUCAAUUAACAACCAUAGUGAUUCGUUCAAUAACCACAGCGAAAAAGGUAAAAAAAAAUCUGGCAUGACUCAUUUAAAAGACCAUGUUCCCUACCAAUGGAAGUUUCAGUCCCAAUUGUGACCUUAAGUUGGGCACUAUCUGUGCCUGACCUCUUUCAAGUUGUUGGCAUCUCACCUCCCCAAUCCACCUGAAUUAUCCUCCCACCCUCUUCCUGAGAAAAUCAGAGGGCCCUAGCUGGGCAUGGGUCCAGCCUAAUGAUGUCAGGAUUUAUUCCUAGAAAACCAUAUUCAUUCCCUCAGGCUUCACAAGUUUGCAAAAAUCCAACUCAUAUAGCAAGACACAGCCUCUACUAUAUUAACCCUUGCAAUUGGCAUGGAAUCUUAAGCCAAUAGGAAAGACGUUAUUUGUAAAUACGCAUACAAACUUGUCACAACUGUCUGAAGAUAUAUUAUUCUACCUUUCCUCCCCUAACAGGACCCAAGUAAUUCUGAACAGGGUACCUGAAUGGAAACUGACAAAUGCAAUAAGAGCGAAUAUACAUGCUUCAUUGCUUUUAUUGCCACAAUCUAAGUCUGAACAUGGGCUUGGUUAUAUUCAUUCAUGCACAUGUAAACACUGCUUAACCAGCCUAGUCAAAUAUGAUCUUAGUUUACAUUGCUCAUUUCAGAAAUAGAAUUCAGACAUUUUAUCUGCCAGAUUCAAGUGGAUGCAAAAAAGAGAUACUUUUUUGAAUCAUAUUAAAUUGAAUAGCAUUCAUUUUCUUAUGUGCCAUUACUAGUGAAAUAAUUCCUUUUACAUUAAAACUUAAAUUUUCUUGAGGCUGCUGAAUGAUGUCUUCAUCAUUCUGAAACUACCACGAAGAUCUGUCCUCAACAGAAUCAGCCUUACAACAAGUUGAAAUAAGAAAUUGUGUGCAGAAUUUGGCAUCUUGAGAAUCUGUUUUCAUCUGUUUUUACACACUGUUGGUCAAAAACCUCAAUAAGAUUUUCAACAAUUGGGAUGAGGUUCUUUGUGCCCUAUAGAGAUCCUGUUCUAUGACUAGAAAACUCCAAAAUGGUAAAAAGAACGCAUUAUUUAAAAAGAAAUAUGCAAUGACAUAUACUGCACAACUAAAUAAUUGUACUUGUUAUUGGUAUUUCUUCUAUUUUGUUUAAUAUAUAUCACACCCUGCACUUUGCAUAAUCAUGUAUCUUGAAACUACAGGCACUUUAGACACUUUAGACUUUAGAUCUGUAUUUUUAUCUUCUCCUUAUGCAGCAAGAACACUGUUUAAAUCCUAAGUGCUGGCCAUACAGUUUAGUUCAAAUUAUUAAGGACUAGUAUAAUACUCUUUAAAGUAUAAAUCAAUUUAUAAUUAAAUUGAAAAUGGCUUACUGAAGCCAAGAGAAAAGCAUUGCCUGUUUGCUAACUGGUUGUGAGAUUUUUUGCAGUGUUUGAACAUUUGGUUCUGUGCAAUCUAAAUUGGUAGUGAGUGAAACCACUAUGCUGUAUUCACAUUGGAUUGUGUUCUUACAUCAGAAUACACUCUACAGGAAAAUACAGUUUUCCCAUUCAUACAUGUUGCUUCAGAGUAAUAAUCUCUAGGCCAAAUUUGGGCUGUCUAAGGAUAUUACAAUUAUUGCUGAAAAAGUCAAAGAAUAUGCAAAAGAACUCAAUAUAUGCUUCAUGGAUUAAGUUGCAUUAAUGUCAAAAGUUUUAGAAUAUUCUUAGAAAUAUGGGAAUUUCUGGCACACAGUCCAGAUGCCCUUGUCUCGGCUUGGCACGCUCAUGUGAUGGGGCUUGGACUGAAUUGCACCUGUGUGGGCUCUAUGCAUGCACAUCUCAUAGAGCACCAUGGUUUACUGACAAGUUACCAGAGAAGAAAUAGCAAAAGAGGUAUCUAUAGAGUAUUGCUGCAGAAAGGCAAAAAGUGGCUGAUUGAUCACAGGUAAGAACUUUUACUUAUGACCGGUCACUAAGCAACCGGUGGAAAUUACAACAUACCAUACUUAUGAUCCAUUUUCAGUGGCAUUUUCAACUGAACGCAAGUUACGACAGUGCUGAAAAAGAUGUCUGCAUUUACAACCCUAUCUACAUUUUUUAAAAAAAAAUCACAUUAUCUAAAACACUUUUGUUAUAAAAAUGAAUUAUAUGUACCACUUAUGCCAAGUUCCAAAAUGCUUAGUAUAUUACAGAAUUAGGUUCAGAUCUAAUACAAGAUGAUUGAAUUUAGAGUGACAGCUGACAUUUUCUUUGUCACUGUUGCUUAAAAAAACAGAAUCUUAACACGUAAAGUCAAGACAAACAUGUCAAACCAACCUGUUAUGUCAUGUUAACAGAAGGUUUGGGGCAGGCGCCUUGUAGAUAAUGUUGGCUCUGACUUUCCAAUCUAAGAACAAUUCUGUACAGGGACACUAAGAAAAAGUAAACUUCCGUAUAAAUUCAUACCUGCAGCUUAUUGGCACUGAUAUCAGGAAGUCUGGUCUGAUUUAAAUCUGGAACAGUUGAAGACUGACCUGAAACUUAGAUCUCAUAUAAGGAAAUGAAAAGGCAUAUAACUUUAAAAAAGAUUAAAGAGCAAAACUAAAAAGACAUUUCUGUAUAGAUGUGAAAUCUUCACGUACUAUUUAUUAAAUAUAUAUUGUAAUUUUUAAUAUUAAAAAAUAGUAUGUUUUCAUCCAACUUCACAAAUUUCUUACUCCAAUAUACUUACUAUUAGUACUGCAUAGCCUAAAAGAAAGAAAAAUUAAAUAUGCAUUGAUUAUCCUAUCACAUAUAAUUUGUGUAAAGUUGUAUAUAUAAAUAAAAUUAUAUGGAAAACAUUUCAUGGACUUCAUUAUGUUUAGCUGGUUUGUUCUGUUUGUAUCAUAAAAAGAUAUCAGAUCUAUCUGGUUAUAAAGACUAUUAUUAACAAUGCAAAAGUGGAUGCACACUUUUAUUGUUUGCCUUCUAUACCGAUACAACUCUAUUCUGGGAAACUGUUGUCAUUGCGCAACUUGGUAGCUUAAGUACAUGAAUAAAAUAAUUUAUGGCAUUGCCAUUUUCACUACUUAACAUCUUCACAUUUUGUGAAUAUCCCAUUCUUAGGUGACAAAAAGAUCAUUUUCACCUUAAUUGACUGCAUAUUCUAAAGUUUCAGGAAAAAUCUGUCAUCUACAGGUAUAAAUCCUAAUUGGGGUCAGAUUAAAUAUAAACAUCCACAUAACUAAACAUUUAAAUUAAAAGCUGGAUCAGACAAUUUAGGAUGGUGGUAGACAUAAUAAAAAAAUGACAUUCUUCAGUUCAGAUGGACUGCAGAGAUAGAUCACUUAUAAUUUUUAGUUUUAUUAGGUAUUAUGCAUUUAGGUAUUAAGAAUGGUAUUCAUGGCAAAGCAAUGCUAUAAGCAUUGAAAAGACCUUUUUGCAAAAAAUAUUCCACAAUGACUAAGAACAAAUGAAUUUUGCAAACUCCCACUUUUUAGUGAACAACUAUCCAACUCUUCACAACCAUUUCUAAAACAAUAUAAACUAUUCAAAGUUGGUUGAAUAUAAGAGACAUAUAUUCAUAAAAAUACCAUCAAACUGUCCCAAAACAGAUCUGUUUUUAGCCGAAUGGCUAAUUUUGCUAUUGUUAUGAAUAUCAUUUUGAAAGAAUCAUAGCAUGAUUUAGGACAAGCUUAAACAUUUCUUUUCAGUCUCAAAAGCUGUUCUUAAAAUGGGAUAACAGGCAGUAUUUUAUCUGGUCAAGUGAAGAAGAGUGUCUUAACUGGGAAAUUAAUUAUGUGACAUACUUAAGAUACAUAUGAAGAACUUUAAAAAUCACAUUAAAGAGUAGACACAACUAGCAUAUUCAAUACCCUUUUCAAAUUAGUUGUUGUACAGUCUAUUUGGCUACCAAGAAUUUUCAGAGAUACCAUUUUAUUGUGAUAAAAUAUUAUCCACAAGUUCCCUUCCCAUAAAUAACACAAUGCUAUCAAUUUGCUCAAUUUAUUUUAACAAAAUUGAUGUAGAAAUAUCACUGAAUUAAACAAACAUCUGAACAUAUAAACAUCUGCCAUGUUCCUGAAACAGGAGUUAAUACCUGUGCACAUUAAAAUUCAUUAGGAACACUAUCAAUUAAUAAGGCUUGUCUUCAAAACAACUAAAUCCAGUUUGUUGCUUUAAUUAUUCUUGCAUUGCAAGUUAAUUUUACGAAAAUUUUCAAAUGUACACAAUUAGACAUUAUGGGAGAGUUAAUAGUACCAUUGGUUACAGCUGUUACAAGUUUUCUGCCACAUGAAAAAAAAACUAAGCCAAUCACAUCAAAUAAUCAUGGCUUUUCUUUAAUAGUUGUUCACCAAGUUAUGUUAAUUAUGGUCCUUUAAACACACACAAACAUUUCAUAAAGGCUAUAUACAGUUGUACAUGGCUGAGCAUGCACUAUUCAUAGAUACCUGCCUGUUUAACAUGAUGUCAUUAUAAUGCUUGAAAAUGAUGCAAUUCAACUUCCAUUUUAAUCAAUAAUUACAAGUGGAAAGAUGGUUCGUCUCCCAUUUUAAUCCAUAAUUACAAGUGGAAAGAUGGUUUGUUUUACAAUUGCUGUUGUUGCAUGAUUUUUUUAAAAAAAUACAAAACAAAAAA
This is a long non-coding RNA of Crotalus tigris (Tiger rattlesnake), 6929 nucleotides long. RefSeq lists it as uncharacterized. The transcript is spliced from 2 exons. The record is from RefSeq and is a predicted model, not a curated record. Lineage: Eukaryota; Metazoa; Chordata; Lepidosauria; Squamata; Viperidae.